Molecule: ribosomal RNA, 484 nt
Filed under: uncultured bacterium
Lineage: Bacteria
Description: partial 16S ribosomal RNA
Rfam family: Bacterial small subunit ribosomal RNA
Source: RNAcentral
AUUGAACGCUGGCGGAAUGCUUUACACAUGCAAGUCGAACGGCAGCACGGGGGCAACCCUGGUGGCGAGUGGCGAACGGGUGAGUAAUACAUCGGAACGUGCCCGGUCGUGGGGGAUAACGUAGCGAAAGUUACGCUAAUACCGCAUACGAUCUGAGGAUGAAAGCGGGGGACCUUCGGGCCUCGCGCGAUCGGAGCGGCCGAUGUCAGAUUAGGUAGUUGGUGGGGUAAAGGCCUACCAAGCCGACGAUCUGUAGCUGGUCUGAGAGGACGACCAGCCACACUGGGACUGAGACACGGCCCAGACUCCUACGGGAGGCAGAAGUGGGGAAUUUUGGACAAUGGGCGCAAGCCUGAUCCAGCCAUUCCGCGUGCAGGACGAAGGCCUUCGGGUUGUAAACUGCUUUUGUAUGGAACGAAAAGGCUCUGGCUAAUACCUGGGGCUCAUGACGGUACCGUAAGAAUAAGCACCGGCUAACUACGUG